CCUCCUCCUCCUCCUCCUCCUCCUCCUCCUCCUCCUCCUCCACUUCUGCUGGGUGGCCCCCUGCUCCCUGGAGGGGGCACUCACACGGAUGCUCUCGUCGCCAAAGUGUCAGCCGUACAGCAAACCACCAGCCGGGACAAACAAGAUUUUUUCCCUAAGCCCUCAGCACCCUGCUUCCAUUUGUGCUCCGUCUGGCUCUGUCUGCACAGGAAAAAUCCUAACUGAUGUUAUCAGUCUGCAUUCCUCCUUCCGUCACCCUUUUAGACCUCCGUUUGGAAGUCGCCCUCCUGGACGUCUAAGGACUGGCCUUGUGGAGAAAAUGCUUUUCAGGGGCGGCCCCCCUUCUCUCGCCCCCCCACCAGCUGCUGGCAGGCAUCACUAUUUACAAUAGCAGGGGGGAGCGGGGCCUACCAUUAUCUGAGCAUGCCCGUUCGGGAAGGUUCCUGUUGCAUCACCGCUGAUGGGGUCCUGACAGUUUCUGAGACGACAUCUGAACGCAUCCUGGACCUGAAGAAUA
Molecule: long non-coding RNA, 517 nt
Organism: Notolabrus celidotus (New Zealand spotty)
Lineage: Eukaryota; Metazoa; Chordata; Actinopteri; Labriformes; Labridae
Exons: 4
Source: RefSeq, a predicted model, not a curated record